RNAcentral lists this ribosomal RNA (862 nucleotides) under Perforatella bidentata. RNAcentral describes it as "partial 16S ribosomal RNA". The record is from RNAcentral. Lineage: Eukaryota; Metazoa; Mollusca; Gastropoda; Stylommatophora; Hygromiidae.
AGUUAUAAUAAGACUAAUUAAAUAGUUACUCACGAAAUAAAUUGAGCUAAAUUUAUUAGAUCUGUUUUAGCAGAUAAUAUUAGUUGUUGCAACACCUAUAUAUUUUACUAUAAAAUUUAGGGGUGAAAGGCUUUUCAAAUUUUAGGAUAACUUGAGGUAUAAGAUAUAUAUUUAGUAUAUUGUUUCAAUUAUAAAAUGUUUAGGUUUUAUAGUAUUCACAUUAUUAUUUAUGUAAAGGUAUGUAAUUUUUUUAAUUGAAAUUACUUUAACCCUACUAAUAAUGAUAUAAAUUUCAGAUAUGGGCUAAUAUUAUACUAUAAUAUCUUUAUAUAUAUAUUAUAUAUAAUGUAAUUAUCAGUAAUUCAAAAAAAACUAAUUAAGGAACUCGGCAAAAAAAAUUUUCAACUGUUUACCAAAAACAUGCUUUUAGGGUUUAAUUAAAAGUCUUUUUCCUGCUCAAUGGUUUAAUUAAAUAGCCGCAGUACCUUGACUGUGCAAAGGUAGCAUAAUCAAUUGGCUUAUAAUUGAAGUCUAGUAUGAAUGGGUAUAUGGAAAUUAACUGUCUCCUAAAAUGUAAUUGAAAUUAAUAAAAAAGUGCAAAUGCUUUUAAAUAUAAAUUAGACGAGAAGACCCUAGAAAUUUUUUAAGAAUUAUUUUGCUGGGGCGGCAUGGUAACAAUAAAAACUUACCUAAAGCUAGAUAUGAACUAAUUAUUGUGAGUAAUUAAAUUACUCUAGGGAUAACAGCAUAAUGUAUUUAAAGUUUGUGACCUCGAUGUUGGACUAGGGAUUUAAAUGUCUAGAAGGUAUUUAAAAUGGCUCUGUUCGAGCUUUUAUCCCUACAUGAUCUGAGUUCAGACCGG